GUGCAUCGGCCAAUUUACUCCACUGAGAACGGAAACAAUCCAGACUGUCCGUAUAUGUGCACAAGAGAGGGGAGGAGUUCCAUAUCACCAUUUCAAAUGGUAUGUUCCAGGGUUUACAGGCCAAGUAUUUCCAUAUUUUUAAUCAAAAGUGCAGCUGUGGCGAAACCACUGUUAGCAAACACAGUAGUAGUUGCUUUGGAGGUAGAACACCAAACAAAGAAAGAGUGGAUGACAUUGCCAUUAACACAGCAUUAGUUACAACGUUUUGCAAGUCGGAAAAAUAUGCGCUAACGUACUAAAAGAACCACCUCUUCUUAACUGCAG
Molecule: long non-coding RNA, 324 nt
Filed under: Triticum aestivum (bread wheat)
Lineage: Eukaryota; Viridiplantae; Streptophyta; Magnoliopsida; Poales; Poaceae
Description: long non-coding RNA (TAES_LNC024255)
Source: RNAcentral